GUGGCUUAACCGCCGUCGGCAACCGUCCUGGAUCGACCUGAUAAGGAUGAGGCCACAGGUUCAAAUCCUGUUAGCCCCACCA
RNAcentral lists this transfer RNA (82 nucleotides) under Streptomyces violaceus subsp. violarus. Its description in RNAcentral is "tRNA-Ile". Lineage: Bacteria; Bacillati; Actinomycetota; Actinomycetes; Kitasatosporales; Streptomycetaceae. The record is from RNAcentral.